GACAACAAUAAUGCUCUAAACAAAAAUAUUAAAAAAUAGAUUUUGCAAUAUAUGUGUAAAACAUUGUAAAUAUUGUAUACCAAUUAACAAAACAUACUUUCAAUUAAAGAUUUCACGUACACGCAAGUCAUAUUAUCAAACCUCAGAUUGCAAAUUAAAAGACUGAACAUAUGGAUUAAGGUAUUGGGAAAAAUCGAUAACAGUUAAGAUGACUUUCAACAGAGACGCGAGAUAGAUGCUACGGUGGGAAAUAGAUAUAAAUGUUGUUGUUUUUCUUGUUCAGCUUGUCGACGAAAAUGUAUCACAUACACAAACACACACCCGAUCUUAAACCGUCGUCAUACGUACAUGCAUACAUACAUACCUACAUAUGUAUGUAUACGCUUAAUUUUACGUUAGCGAUGUGUCAUCAUUACGAAAAGACCAUAAAAUAAAACAGAAACAAUUAUUAUAAUCGAUUCUAAUAUGAAUGAGAAAAUCAAAUAAACAAAACGCAAGCAUUAAAACAAAACAAUUGAAAGAGAAAAAACAAAACAUGCUAAAAUAAACAAUUCAUAUCAUCAAAAUUUUAAAAUUUAGUUAUGAGAAUAACAUUUGAUUAGAAGACGAUUUAUCCUUUUUUUUAAUCUGAGACAGAAAAAUGUCAAGACGUCGUCACAAUUUGUUAGAAGUCAAAUUUACUUGCAAACAAAAUACACAUUGGAAAGCAACGUAGAGACACCACAAAAACUGUUACGAACGGCCAUCUUGGAAGAAUAAACGAGAAAAAACGUAAUGCAAAAAAUGAAAUGAAAAAAAAAAACGAAAUCGACCAGUACCCCGGAUAAACUUAUGAAAAAUAUAAUAAAUUAUCCAUAAUCUAGUAUUUAAAACAUGUUCCAAUUAUAUUUCAACUGCAAAAAAUAAAAAUUAUUAUCUUUGUGGCUUUUGUUGCAGCUCUUAUACACACACA
This is a long non-coding RNA of Lucilia cuprina (Australian sheep blowfly), 952 nucleotides long. RefSeq lists it as uncharacterized. Lineage: Eukaryota; Metazoa; Arthropoda; Insecta; Diptera; Calliphoridae. The transcript has 2 exons. The record is from RefSeq and is a predicted model, not a curated record.